This is a long non-coding RNA of Musa acuminata AAA Group (dessert banana), 1556 nucleotides long. RefSeq lists it as uncharacterized. Lineage: Eukaryota; Viridiplantae; Streptophyta; Magnoliopsida; Zingiberales; Musaceae. The transcript is spliced from 2 exons. The record is from RefSeq and is a predicted model, not a curated record.
GGCACGAGGCGAGGGAGGCAGGUCUAAGGUCAGAAUUGGGCCGACACGCCGAGAUAUGUCUCGUACCCUUCUCCUCUCCCAAAAGCGACUGUUGGCUCCGUCGCGAACGCAAAUAAUGCUCGAUUAACCGUAAUUUUGCUGCCUAAAACGCUCAGAGGAAAAGAAGGAAGUAUUAAUGGAACAUCAUCAACCCCUCUGCUUUCGUUGGGAAGCAACAUCAUCCUUCUUUUCGAAAGGGGGACUUUUGCUGCCGCCGCAAGAAAAAAAAGAAGGCAUCUUUGCUUUCAGACGCAAGAUCUUCCCACUGGCUCUAUUUCUGCCUAUUCCUCCCGAAGAACUUCCAGAAUCUUGACUUGAUGGGCGCAUUUCCCGGGUCAAAUUGCAGGCCAACUGCUUGUUAUAAUGUCCAAUAGCUAACAGCUUGAACCGCAGGUGCUCACUGUGUGGGGUGUCCAAGAUCUGUGGAUUCUGAUUCAGUGUGCCAUGAAGAAUGCAGUAGGAGUUGACUGAGUGCUACCAGCCAUGGCCUUUGAAUUGGUGAGGCUGCAUUACUGACCUCGUGCAUUACACAUAAGGAAGAAUUUUCUACUCACUGCAUGCAGCAGUCUCCAUCUUCACAAAUCAAAGUUCAAACAGGAAGGGGAGGAGGUAAGUGAUAAGUUUUCAUACUCAAGGCACAUUUGAAUUGAUAUAUGCAUUUUUAUCUUGAUAAAAUGUAGAUAUUGUCUAGUUGUAAGAAAUACCUCAUAACUUACUAGAAAUGGAGGGAAUUGAUUAGCUUGACUUGAAGAACCAAUCCAAGGAUGCUGCCCUUAACUCCCUGUUACCACAGAGAGUUAAGGGAGUGAAACUAAAAGAAGCAAAUCUGGUUGAUUCUUUACAAAAGGUUAAACAAAGAUAUGACAAGUUGCUCAAAAUACUGUAAACUAUGUUAAUGGAGAGUAAAGCAUUAGGCAAAAGUAGCUGUGCACCACUAGCCACAAAAACAUCAGUUAUUUUGCCGUGUUUGGUCAUUGCAUAUUACAAUCUGACAAGCUCUCAUCUUUAGAGGUAAGAUUGUAAGGUUGUGUGCAUUGAAUUUUUUCGGACCCAACAUUAGCAGGAUCCUCGUGAGUCUCGUGUACUAGAUAUGCUCUUUUUAGUUUGGGUCCAAUUCAACCGCUGAAUUAAUUCUGUAAUAAAACAAAAUUCAAGAGCAGAAAAAGAAAGAAAUAUAAAAUUACAUCAAACAAGCCCUUAGUUGAGUGAACAAGACCUCCAAUAUGUUUUCAGAUGUGCCAGUAAUUUUUAUAUGCAGGCAAUAAAUGGCCAAAGAGACUGACAAUGGAGUAGAUGGGUAGCAAGGCAAUUUGUUAUGCAGGGCAUGCAUAUGCACACAUUUUAUCCUAUCACACUCAGAAGUCUUAACUCAAAUAAGCUUGUAUUCUGAAAGUGAUUUUAGUUGGAACCAGGAACCAGUUUCUGCUCUCCUCAUUCUCUCUUGCUCCAAUCACCAAUGUCUUGGAAUGAAUGUUUGAUUGCUGAAUAAGAAUCGAGAAGAGGUUAAGAGUAUUGGA